GAUGAAGAACGCAGCGAAAUGCGAUAAGUAGUGUGAAUUGCAGAAUUCAGUGAAUCAUCGAAUCUUUGAACGCAUAUUGCGCCCUUUGGUAUUCCAAAGGGCAUGCCUGUUCGAGCGUCAUUUGUACCCUCAAGCUUUGCUUGGUGUUGGGCGUCUUGUCUCUAGCUUUGCUGGAGACUCGCCUUAAAGUAAUUGGCAGCCGGCCUACUGGUUUCGGAGCGCAGCACAAGUCGCACUCUCUAUCAGCAAAGGUCUAGCAUCCACUAAGCCUUUUUUUCAACUUUUGACCUCGGAUCAGGUAGGGAUACCCGCUGAACUUAAGCAUAUCAAUAAGCGGAGGA
Molecule: unclassified non-coding RNA, 341 nt
Filed under: soil metagenome
Description: partial contains 5.8S ribosomal RNA, internal transcribed spacer 2, and large subunit ribosomal RNA
Rfam family: 5.8S ribosomal RNA (bases 1-120)
Source: RNAcentral